Callithrix jacchus (white-tufted-ear marmoset) is the source of this 285-nucleotide unclassified non-coding RNA. It matches the Rfam family "Metazoan signal recognition particle RNA". Rfam says of the family: The signal recognition particle (SRP) is a universally conserved ribonucleoprotein. It is involved in the co-translational targeting of proteins to membranes. The eukaryotic SRP consists of a 300-nucleotide 7S RNA and six proteins: SRPs 72, 68, 54, 19, 14, and 9. Lineage: Eukaryota; Metazoa; Chordata; Mammalia; Primates; Cebidae. The record is from Ensembl.
GGUGCACCCCUGUAGUCCCAGCUACCCGGGAGCCUAAGGCGUGAGGAUUGCUUGAGCCCAGGAGUUCUGGACUGUAGCACAGUAUGGCUCAUGUGUCCUCACUAAGUUUGGCAUCAGUAUUGUGACUUCUGAGGAGCAGGGACUACAAAGUUGCCUAAAGAGGGAUGAACUGGCCCAGGGAGAAAAUGAGGCAGGUCAAAACUCCCAUGCUGAUCAGUAGUGGGAUCACCCCUGUGAAUAGCCACAGCACUCCAGCCUGGGCAACAUAGCAAGACCCUGUCUCUA